UUAUACCAGAACGUAACGUAAAAGUAACUCACAUAACCUACCCCCGAUGACAACAACUUCACUCGGUAGAAAAAUAAACCAAACUAACAUUUUUGUCCUGAUUUGAAAAACAGUUUUUAAGUUAUUUUUAUUUAAAUUUUAAUAAUAUCGCAUUACGCUUCAGCCAUUUGUGGUCCGGAACAUCUUUAACAGUGACAACCAAACUUUUACAAGUUUUACGUUUUUAUAGAUUUUUUGGAAAAAGUUUCGUGCGAUAUCAAGAUCAUUUUGAAAACCCGGAGCAAUUCCCACCGCUGCAGUCAACAGUACUGUUUACUUUAUACGUCCGGGAUUCUAAAUCGCACAGAGUCUUGAAGAAGAGACCUAUGGAUCCAAGUGCUGUAUAAGGUGAAGAUCGGCUACUACUUAACGAGCAAACUAUUCGUGUUGAGCAAUUUCAUCGGAUGAGAUGCAAUUCCAUGGCGAUGGCUCGUACUCUUUUAAAAGGAAUGAUGCAGAAACAACCAAAACAGCAAGACAGCGGAACGGGAUGCCAACAGCAGUCAUUCAACGAAUCAAUAAAUUAAUUAAGGCACACAAAUUGCAAUAGAUUUUCGGGAAGAACAAUAAAAUGUUAAAUAUUUCUGAGUAGUCAUGUAAAUUAUAAAUUUAUUGACAAUUUUGAAAACAAUUACAAUACAAUUUAUUUUAAUAAAAAAAGGCAUCGUGAUAAUAAUGAAAAUAAUU
This is a long non-coding RNA of Armigeres subalbatus, 726 nucleotides long. RefSeq lists it as uncharacterized. The record is from RefSeq and is a predicted model, not a curated record. NCBI's taxonomy places the organism in Eukaryota, Metazoa, Arthropoda, Insecta, Diptera, Culicidae. The transcript is spliced from 3 exons.